RNAcentral lists this RNase P RNA (373 nucleotides) under Betaproteobacteria bacterium. RNAcentral's name for it is "RNase P RNA component class A". It matches the Rfam family "Bacterial RNase P class A". From Rfam's summary of the family: Ribonuclease P (RNase P) is a ubiquitous endoribonuclease, found in archaea, bacteria and eukarya as well as chloroplasts and mitochondria. Its best characterised activity is the generation of mature 5'-ends of tRNAs by cleaving the 5'-leader elements of precursor-tRNAs. The record is from RNAcentral. Lineage: Bacteria; Pseudomonadati; Pseudomonadota; Betaproteobacteria.
GAAGUCCGCUAGGCCGUCGCUGGUGCAAUCUGCAAGGACUGUGUUGCAAAACAUGGGGUGGAAACACCGCACUGGAGGAACGUCCGGACUGCAAAGGAGAGCGCAGGAGGUAACACCUCUCCACCGUGAGGUGAGGAUUAGAGCAACAGAGACGAGUCGACAAGGGCAACUUUGUCGGGUGAAACGGGCAAUCUCUGCGCGCAGCAAUACCAAGUAGGCCUUCGGGAUGUUGCAAAACAUUCGCCUGUGAUCCGCAGGUUGUGUUGGCGGGUAGGUAGCACCGAGCCGUGUGGGUGACCCACGGCCCAGAGGAAUGACGGUCACAUGAAGGAAACUUCGUGCACAAAAUCCGGCGUAUCGGUGGGCUUCACUU